RNAcentral lists this unclassified non-coding RNA (472 nucleotides) under Athalia rosae (coleseed sawfly). RNAcentral describes it as "misc RNA ENSAEAG00005007643.1". The record is from RNAcentral. Lineage: Eukaryota; Metazoa; Arthropoda; Insecta; Hymenoptera; Athaliidae.
CGCCUCUGAUCCUCUGACUGUCUUCGAUUUCGAGACCAAGAAUGUAAUUACCUGAAUAAAGGAAUAUUUACAAUUACAUGUCAUCAUUAUUAUUCGUAAACGUCAGGGUUGUGUUCGACUUCGAUUUAGAGGCUAGGCUCCGAUGAAAUGUCAAAGGUGUGUCACGAGUUUUUAAUUAGUGAGUUUUUAGCAAUUGUGUCGAUAGCAAUACGGUUUUUCACUGGACUGAUGAAACUAGAAGGUAUUAUAAUUGAUCCAACCCAUUGCGAACUGUCGUCAGUUCUCUUCUAUUCUUCCAAUUUCCUCAUGGGAUACUUAAUCACCUCAGCUGCCAACAAACAGUGUCAUCAAUUACCUGGGAAAUUCUGUAUACCGAUUCUAAUGAAACAAAUAUAGAACAUUCCAAUGUUCAGAGAUUUCCAGAUGCUGGAGGAGCCAGAAACCAACAAACCUGCAUUUUUCAUUGAGACGC